This 448-nucleotide ribosomal RNA is filed under the name uncultured bacterium. Its description in RNAcentral is "bacterial SSU rRNA". It matches the Rfam family "Bacterial small subunit ribosomal RNA", at positions 328 to 793 of the family's 1533-position model. The record is from RNAcentral.
GGUCCAGACUCCUACGGGAGGCAGCAGUGGGGAAUAUUGCACAAUGGGGGAAACCCUGAUGCAGCAACGCCGCGUGAGUGAAGAAGUAUUUCGGUAUGUAAAGCUCUAUCAGCAGGGAAGAAGAUGACGGUACCUGAAUAAGAAGCCCCGGCUAACUACGCGCCAGCAGCCGCGGUAAUACGUAGGUGGCAAGCGUUGUCCGGAUUUACUGGGUGUAAAGGGCGUGUGGCCGGGCUGACAAGUCAGAUGUGAAAUCCGGGGGCUCAACCCCCGAACUGCAUUUGAAACUGUUGGUCUUGAGUAUCGGAGAGGCAGGCGGAAUUCCGAGGGUAGCGGUGAAAUGCGUAGAGAUUAGGAAGAACACCAGUGGGGAAGGCGAUUCUCUGGACUGUAACUGACGCUGAGGCUCGAAAGCGUGGGGAGCAAACAGGAUUAGAUACCCGGGUAA